This is a non-coding RNA of Termitomyces sp. T159_Od127, 83 nucleotides long. The record is from the annotation of a GenBank genome assembly. NCBI's taxonomy places the organism in Eukaryota, Fungi, Basidiomycota, Agaricomycetes, Agaricales, Lyophyllaceae.
CCGACCUUAGCUCAGUUGGUAGAGCGCGAGACUGUAAUUGGAUGUUUAUCUUGAGGUCGCCUGUUCGAUCCAGGCAGGUCGGA